RNAcentral lists this ribosomal RNA (468 nucleotides) under uncultured bacterium. RNAcentral describes it as "partial 16S ribosomal RNA". It matches the Rfam family "Bacterial small subunit ribosomal RNA", at positions 28 to 507 of the family's 1533-position model. The record is from RNAcentral.
GACGAACGCUGGCGGCGUGCUUAACACAUGCAAGUCGAACGGAAAGGCCCUGCUUUUGUGGGGUGCUCGAGUGGCGAACGGGUGAGUAACACGUGAGUAACCUGCCCUUGACUUUGUGAUAACUUCAGGAAACUGGGGCUAAUACCUGAUAGGAUCUCCUGCUGCAUGGGGGUGGUUGGAAAGUUUCGGCGGUUGGGGAUGGACUCGCGGCUUAUUAGCUUGUUGGUGGGGUAGUGGCUUACCAAGGCUUUGACGGGUAGCCGGCCUGGGAGGGUGAACGGACACAGUGGGACUGAGAUACGCACCAGACUCCUACGGGAGGCAGCAGUGGGGAAUAUUGCACAAUGGGCGGAAGCCUGAUGCAGCAACGCCGCGUGCGGGAUGACGGCCUUCGGGUUGUAAACCGCUUUCGCCUGUGACGAAGCGUGAGUGACGGUAAUGGGUAAAGAAGCACCGGCUAACUACGUG